RNAcentral lists this ribosomal RNA (642 nucleotides) under Anaplasma phagocytophilum. Its description in RNAcentral is "bacterial SSU rRNA". It matches the Rfam family "Bacterial small subunit ribosomal RNA", at positions 815 to 1456 of the family's 1533-position model. The record is from RNAcentral. Lineage: Bacteria; Pseudomonadati; Pseudomonadota; Alphaproteobacteria; Rickettsiales; Anaplasmataceae.
GCUGAAUGUGGGGAUAAUUUAUCUCUGUGUUGUAGCUAACGCGUUAAGCACUCCGCCUGGGGACUACGGUCGCAAGACUAAAACUCAAAGGAAUUGACGGGGACCCGCACAAGCGGUGGAGCAUGUGGUUUAAUUCGAUGCAACGCGAAGAACCUUACCACUUCUUGACAUGGAGAUUAGAUCCUUCUUAACAGAAGGGCGCAGUUCGGCUGGAUCUCGCACAGGUGCUGCAUGGCUGUCGUCAGCUCGUGUCGUGAGAUGUUGGGUUAAGUCCCGCAGCGAGCGUAACCCUCAUCCUUGGUUGCCAGCGGGUUGAGCCGGGCACUUUAAGGAGACUGCCAGUGGUAAACUGGAGGAAGGUGGGGAUGAUGUCAAGUCAGCACGGCCCUUAUGGGGUGGGCUACACACGUGCUACAAUGGUGACUACAAUAGGUUGCAAUGUCGUAAGGCUGAGCUAAUCCAUAAAAGUCAUCUCAGUUCGGAUUGUCCUCUGCAACUCGAGGGCAUGAAGUCGGAAUCGCUAGUAAUCGUGGAUCAGCAUGCCACGGUGAAUACGUUCUCGGGUCUUGUACACACUGCCCGUCACGCCAUGGGAAUUGGCUUAACUCGAAGCUGGUGCGCUAACCGAAAGGAAGCAGCCAU